This is a long non-coding RNA of Sarcophilus harrisii (Tasmanian devil), 2849 nucleotides long. RefSeq lists it as uncharacterized. Lineage: Eukaryota; Metazoa; Chordata; Mammalia; Dasyuromorphia; Dasyuridae. The transcript is spliced from 3 exons. The record is from RefSeq and is a predicted model, not a curated record.
AAGAUAGGAUCCUUCUUGUGUCCUUUGUUUUAAGACAUUUCUCUCACUUUGAAAUUAAACUUCCUUCUCCAGUUUCUAGCUUGAUCUGUUCAGCUCUGGCCAUCCACAGAUUAAAGAGUUCAACACAUAUAUACCUCAUCUGGUGAGUCCUCUGCCCUUCUACAUGUGAUCCUCCUCCUUUGGUCAAGAUCACCAUUCUUUGUGAAAGAAACCCCAAGGAUCCUUCAGUGACCUAAUUUGUCUCAGAUCACUCUGGUCCCUACUAGAUCCUUCUACUAUUCCCACAGCUGCCAAAUUUAUGGGUGUGGACAUCUCCUGAGUGGACAACAUAUUCUUCAAGGUCGAUCUAGUAUAGACCCAGAAGCAGUAAACAUCCAGAUGAGACAACUAUCCCAAGAUUCCAGACGAAUGCUGAUUAUGCUGAACUCUGCCCUUUUGUUAUGUGCUCAACCACCAAGGACCUGAAUUAAAUGCAUGUUGACAUUUUUUUCCUCUACAUUCUUCCCCCUUCCUUUUCUGCUUGCAAAUAAACAAUGGCUAGUAAUAAUACCUGGAAUACAUUUCCAUCUAUUGGGUUAGAUUCCCAACCCCCCCCCCAAGCAACUGACCUCAUGGGGUAAAAAUGAUCAUCCUGGCCCAACUGUCCCCUUGUGGGAUCUUGGCUUAUACCCACCUCUACUUUAUUGACCAAUAGGAGAGGAGUUACUUCAGACCCUCCUCCCUUUGGCCAAAAAGGGAAAAUGUGAAGAAAUUAGGAGACAGCCUGUUUUCCAGAGCUAAGUUCCAGAAAUCAGGCUGUGCCCUGAACUUAGCAUAACAACAAUCCUUUGUGCUUAUCCUCUGGAUGAUCUCAUUCCCUGUCAAAAUUACAUAAUUCUUGUAUUGCUUUGACCAGCAUCGGGUCUUGAGUUCAGACAAGUUCUAGUCAUGAAGCCCCCUCAGGAAUCAAAUCAGUCACAUUGUUGCUGUUACCCCUCAUUUCCAAGGCUACAACUCACUGCACAAUCAUGAUACAAAUAUUGAGAUGUUCCCACAUUGUCUCAAGUACCCCCCAAUUAAGAGCAGGAUCCCUAUAUGUGUGUCCUUAUUUGCAAGCCAUUUCCCUCAUUUUGUGUUCAAUUCCUGACUCUCCCAUCUCUAGCCUGUUCUGUUUAAUUCUGACCAUCCACAAGUUAGAGGCCAGUUGAGUUUAGUUGACAUAUUAAUGGGUCUCUCUCUACCCAGGUAUGCUAAUUUGGUAUCUGUUGGCAGUUGCUAUCAACAGGAACUACUUUUAAGAUAGCUGAAAGGGACACUUUCAUAGGAGACUGGGAGUUGGUAAGUCCAAAGCUCUCUUAGCCUAAGUGUAAAGUAGGUCAGCUAAACUAAAAAUAUCUAGGGGUUCUAGUGAAGUGCAAAGUUUAGACUCUGUCCUGGACCUUCUUUAAGAAUCAUACGUAAAUUUGGAACUGGAAGAGAGACUUUAGGAGGACAUCUAUUGCCUGAUUUUAUAGAUAAGGAAACUAGUCCCAAAAUGACUUAUCCACGUAACACAUGACAAAGUUAAGAGUGAAUCCAUGUCCUCUGAGUCUAUUUCUAUUUCAUCUUUUCUCUCUCCUCUCAACUCCCAUUGAUUCAUUUAUUAUCUGAAUGUAGCCCUGACUAGGACACACCUGCUUUAGAUUUUAUCCAGAGGAUCAGAACAUUAAAGAUAAACUGAUUAGACAGAUAUUUUUCAGUCCUCUUUUUCAACUCUACCCCAAAGACAGUUUUACUCUGACUUUGGGACUAGUAAGGGGCUAACCAAGUCUCAUAAACUUUCCGCUGAUGCAUAGAAAGGAAGGAAGGAUCAACCAAUCUCUGGUUAAAGAAGGAAGGAAGGAAGGAAAGAUGAAGGAGAGAAAAAGGAAGAAAAAAUGAGAGAUCCUGAAGAGAUAGAAGCUAUAGAGAGCCUGUUGCCAAGAGCUCAUCAGUCCUAGGAAUCCAGAACCAGUAAUACCAAGAAAUCCUGCAAAAACUCCAUCAGAAUGAAUCAUGCAUUUCUUAAAUCCCUUUAGGUUGCAGUCAGGAGCCAGAGAUUUUUCAUUUCUUUCUUCCCAGGUCCCUCUCCCAGACUGUACUUCUUGAGUGAUAUCUCCCUAAAUGAUGAGAGACUCUAUCUUUGUUUCUUAAAAGUUGGCUUACCUUUGUUUGUUUACUUUGUUUUCUUAGGCAAAUGUGGUUAAACUGUAGAUAAGAAUCUGCUAAAUUAUGUGUGCUAUUAUUUUCAUGAAAUGUUGAGUGGAGUGAUUGGGAACAGCCUAGGAGGGAAGAGAGAUAAAUUGAAAACUGACUUAUUUUGUCAAAGUAAGAUUUCUGGCUGGGGGUUCAGAGCUUAGAGGGGAAAUGAUAUUGAUUUAUUUUUCUUUCUUUUCCUUUCCUUUCUUUUACUUUUUUUUUCUCACAACUUCCCAAGGCAAAGAGAGUACAUUUAUCACAAUCCCUCUGGACAAAUGAAUUAGCAGCAGUAACUGGGAAUAUAAUUGGCUAAGCUGGCAUUGAAGCAAGAGUUAACCAUUAUUAUGGUCUGGUUUUAAAAAAAAUCAUUCCUACAGAAGCCAGGGAAUGGCUAAAGAGAAAGUAGGAGAAAGAGCCCUGCUCAGAAAAGGGAAGAGCAAGGGAAUCUGCCAGUUCUACUUGCCUGUAUCAACUCAGCCUAAUACCAUGACCAUAUCAUCAUCCAUCACUAUCAUUUGUACAGUGCUUAAAGCUUUGCAAAGUAUUUUAUAUUAUCUCAUUUGAUCCUAACAACAAUUUUGGAAAGUAUUUACCAUUAUUAUUCCCCCAUUUUACACAUGACAAAACUGAUGUAGGAGCAAGUUAAGUGAUUU